RNAcentral lists this ribosomal RNA (20 nucleotides) under Opuntia robusta (nopal tapon). RNAcentral's name for it is "partial 18S ribosomal RNA". The record is from RNAcentral. Lineage: Eukaryota; Viridiplantae; Streptophyta; Magnoliopsida; Caryophyllales; Cactaceae.
UUUUCUUUAGGGGUACCUUG